Molecule: long non-coding RNA, 3204 nt
Organism: Conger conger (European conger)
Lineage: Eukaryota; Metazoa; Chordata; Actinopteri; Anguilliformes; Congridae
Exons: 4
Source: RefSeq, a predicted model, not a curated record
CCUGUAUGAAAAUAAAACUCUCAUUACAUUACAUGCAUUCAUUUAGCAGACGCUCUUAUCCAGAGCGGCUUAAUACAGCUUUGGCAUUUGUACAUCAUUUCAAUAUACUCAGCUGGAUAUAAACUGAAUCAGAAUUUAGAUGCCAAUGGCACAGUUUAGACACUGGGUGGCACCAUAUGCAAGAUCGACACCGUGCAAAAGCAACACUCAGCAAUGGCCAUAUGCUUUGGUAAAAACCCAGGAGCAGCACAUCAUUUAAAAGUGCAGUCCUAGGAAGGUGAAGAAAUUGAAGGCCUCCUAAGGAAGAUUCCAACACUGCUAAGAUCUCCUUCCCAACGGCCCCCGGACACUAAUAGCAGCACUCCUGAUCGAUGGAGCGUAUCAGGUUCACGUUUACAAGCAUUAUGUUGCAUUAUUUAUUUGUCCUGCUGAUGCACUCGUCCAGGUCAGCUUAGGUAGCUCAUGUUGUUUUACAAAUGAAGUUUCUUCCACAUGUGGAGAAAUCAAUGCGGCACCGUUCGCUUUGAUCAGAACCUCGAGAGCUGGAGUGCACGGUGGCAGGUUUUCGCCUUGAGACUUCAACCGGCAACCUUCAGUGCCGUUCCCUCGGCGUCCCCCAGCGCUCGAUACCUCGCUUUCCUCUUUCCGGAACUUUCGCUCCUUUUUCCUUCGUAGUUGGUCGCUACUGACCUUUUUGUGCGGACGUGGCCCUGUAUCAGGUGAAUGAUCUACGCUGGCACCGGGGGGGGUUUUGUAACACAAACGCACAGUCUUCAGAAUGCUGAGGGCUCUCAGUGUCAUACUGCAAGCUCAGGGUUUGAACUACCAAGGAAUAGCUUCAUCAUCAGCUUUGUACUGCUACCUAUUGUUUUUGUUUUUUUUCAUCCUUGGUGAAUUCCUCUUACUUGGUAAAGCACUGACUGGCUCGUCGAAUGACUGGCUGACUUACUGAGAAGGAACACUGACCGACUCACUGGAAGAGGGGCUCACUGGCUGUCUGACUCACUGACAGACUAAAUGACACAGGUUUACUCAUGGGAUGAUAGAAUGAUUUGCUGACUUUUCGGACAGAGUAAGUGGGUGAGAGACUGACUGACCGACUGAUUGACUGGCUGACUGGCUAACUGGCUGGCUAGCUGGCUGGCUGGCUGGCUGGCUGACUCCUUGAUUGGCUGUUAAUUUGGCCUGGGUGCAAUGCAGCACCAAACUACCGGACGUCAGUGAUAGGAGUAACUCCCCUCCACCCUCUCCUCUCACUGCAGAGAGGAACAGGAGGGGGGCAGGGGAAUUUUGGAUGGAAAGAGAGAGAGAGAGAGAGAGGGAGAGAGAGACUGCAGCAUUGCAGAGAUUGGGCGUUGGCUGCAAGAGAGAGGGGCACAAGCAAAUUAGAGAGGGGGGGGACGAACAGACGCAGAAAGGACAGAGACAGAGGGGAGAGAAGGGUGGCAGAAAGACAGAUGGAGGGAGAGAAAAAGAGGGAAGCCAACACACAGUAAAUAACAAUAUCCUGACACUCAAGGUUAUAAACAAGCAGAACUGUACAUCCUUCACCGGAGAGACCUCCGCAGUGCUUCUGUGGGCAUUCAGAAAGGAAAUUUGUGCCUUUUUCCUUCCAGUGGAUUUAUCCCUGCUGAAAAAACAGCUCAAGCUAGGUUUUGAAACAGCUGGUAGCUGGUUGACCAGUUCAGACCAGCUCCCAGCUUGCCAUGGUUUGACCAGUUAAAGGUAAGUUUUGAAACAGCUGGUAGCUGGUUGACCAAUUCAAACCAGCUGCCAGGUUGACAUGGUUUGACCAGCUAAAGCUAUGUUUUGAAACAGCUGGUAGCUGGUUGACCAGUUCAGACUAGCUCCCAGCUUGACAUGGUUUGACCAGCUCAAGCUAUGUUUUGAAACAGCUGGUAGCUGGUUGACCAGUUCAGACUAGCUCCCAGCUUGACAUGGUUUGGCCAGCUCAAGCUAUGUUUUGAAACAGCUGGUAGCUGGUUGACCAGUUCAGACUAGCUCCCAGCUUGACAUGGUUUGACCAGCUCAAGCUAUGUUUUGAAACAUCUGGUAGCUGGUUGACCAGUUCAGACAAGCUCCCAGCUUGACAUGGUUUGGCCAGCUCAAGCUAUGUUUUGAAACAGCUGGUAGCUGGUUGACCAGCUGAUACCCAGCUAGACCAGCUUAUGACCACCUUGUCCAGUGCAAUUUCUUAGCUGGACAAGUUGGCAUAGCUGGAUUUUACAGCAAGGAUACCAUAUACUGGAAGCACAUGAGCGAACAGGACAUGCAUAUCUAGUGUGAGAGGCAUGAGAAAGAUACAUAUAAUUUGGCAAUUUGUACUGUACAAAUGUGUUUUUUGCAAAGCAAACUGAGUUGAAUUUGAAUUUGAAUUCAACGGUCUGUUUCAAAAAGAAUCUGCUGUGCUGUGUUUUCACUCACUGUAAUAAUACUACACCGUAAAACAAAAAUAAAUAUGGAUCUUCAUCGCACUCAGCCCGCCCUCUGAGAUUUGGCCCCAAGGAAGCAGCACACCAAAGCAGCUUAUUAUGUGACGCAUGAAGGGAGACUAUUAACCAUGUUGACAGUCCCAUUUUAAAACUCAUUCACAGUGCUGUUAUUGUGUGCACUACUGCCUUCCCUGAUAAAGUGAAAAUUGGAUUUCAGGCACACUAACACCACUCUCAAAGCCAGGAAUGAAGUUCAGCCUUACUCAGGCCUUAUCGGUGCCGGCUAUCCAAGAAAAACUACAAACUAUAUGGAUAAUAAACCUGUAGCUUUUCCCAAGAUGGCUAUCUGAGUGUGCAUGGUAUCUCAACAGUCAGUGAAGUAAAGGACUGCACUCCCAUGAAAAUUAUGGAAUUAUUGCAUAAAUGUUUUUGGCAAGACGCCCUUCAAAAUGGAAGUUCUAUCAAACAUGAAACAUAUACCUGGUGCAACAGGUAAGGUAACCUGGUUCGUAGUGGAACCAAAUCACGUGCAACAACCAGCUACAAGCGAGAUUGAAAUUAAACAAGCCAAUGCCAACUCCUCAUUAAGUCCUUUUGGCAUUAGUGUGUCAAAAUAAUAAAUCCAAAAUGCUUCCCUCAGGAGGGGGGGGUUAACGAUUGCCCCCCGCUCCCCUAUAUGACGACCUUAUAGCCUCAGUGCCCAUAUACUUUAAUUAACUUUAAUUUCAGUUCACUGUCUUCAUAGUGUUUGUAGGACCAGCACCCAGAUACA